This 505-nucleotide ribosomal RNA is filed under the name uncultured bacterium. Its description in RNAcentral is "partial 16S ribosomal RNA". It matches the Rfam family "Bacterial small subunit ribosomal RNA", at positions 28 to 507 of the family's 1533-position model. The record is from RNAcentral.
GACGAACGCUGGCGGCGUGCCUAAUACAUGCAAGUAGAACGCACAGUUUAUACCGUAGCUUGCUACACCAUAAACUGUGAGUUGCGAACGGGUGAGUAACGCGUAGGUAACCUGCCUGGUAGCGGGGGAUAACUAUUGGAAACGAUAGCUGAUACCGCAUAAUAUUAAUUAUUGCAUGAUAAUUGAUUGAAAGAUGCAAUUGCAUCACUACCAGAUGGACCUGCGUUGUAUUAGCUAGUAGGUGAGGUAACGGCUCACCUAGGCGACGAUACAUAGCCGACCUGAGAGGGUGAUCGGCCACACUGGGACUGAGACACGGCCCAGACUCCUACGGGAGGCAGCAGUAGGGAAUCUUCGGCAAUGGACGAAAGUCUGACCGAGCAACGCCGCGUGAGUGAAGAAGGUUUUCGGAUCGUAAAGCUCUGUUGUAAGAGAAGAACGGGUGUGAGAGUGGAAAGUUCACACUGUGACGGUAUCUUACCAGAAAGGGACGGCUAACUACGUG